RNAcentral lists this long non-coding RNA (613 nucleotides) under Elaeis guineensis (African oil palm). RNAcentral's name for it is "long non-coding RNA (EGUI_LNC052924)". The record is from RNAcentral. Lineage: Eukaryota; Viridiplantae; Streptophyta; Magnoliopsida; Arecales; Arecaceae.
CUGUAACUUGAAUGGAAACCCUCCAACUCUUCUCAUUAGAAGUUUCAAUUUGAUCACUUGGAUGGUUUCCUUUCUAUUCUAAGAUGGACUUCAGAAUUUGUUGUUUUUUUUUUCAUGUAUGAACCAUUGAAAGUGAAUUCCUAGAUCUAGGAUGAAAUCCUAAUAUAGGUUUGUGUCUUCUCUUUACAUUUACUCAAGCUUUGAGAAUUUACUUGGACAAUUCAACAUUACCAUUCUUGAUUUUGAUGCCUUCUUCAUGCUGUAACUUAAUAUCUGGUCGUAUCUUACAACAACAUGGUGACAUGACUCUAGCAGCUAAAGUAUACGGCUCCUGGUAGCAGGUGAACUGAUUAACUAAGAGAAUGGCUUUAUCUGUAGUUCUUCUUAGUUAAAUUCUCUGCUGAACACUUGAAUUGUAUUCUUCUCUUCUCUUAACUUUGAUUCAUCUCACACUUUAAAGCUCCGCCAUGAGAUUUAAACUAGGUUGUCAUACUAUGUCUUUCUUGUUUCCUCUGGAAAAUAAUGUUGUCUUUUUCUGGUAGUACUGUACUUGUGGAUAUUUAUCAAAUCUUUUUGAUCAUGUGGAUGACAAUAAAACUAACCAAAUCUUAUU